RNAcentral lists this ribosomal RNA (502 nucleotides) under uncultured bacterium. Its description in RNAcentral is "bacterial SSU rRNA". It matches the Rfam family "Bacterial small subunit ribosomal RNA", at positions 11 to 507 of the family's 1533-position model. The record is from RNAcentral.
GUUUGAUCCUGGCUCAGGAUGAACGCUAGCGGCAGGCUUAACACAUGCAAGUCGAGGGGCAGCGCGAUGUAGCAAUACAUUGGCGGCGACCGGCGCACGGGUGCGUAACACGUAUGGAACUUACCCUUUACUGGGAGAUAGCCCGGAGAAAUCCGGAUUAAUAUCCCAUAAUAAACGAAGUGGCAUCACUUUGUUUUGAAAGCUCCGGCGGUAAAGGAUGGCCAUGCGCACGAUUAGCUAGUAGGUGAGGUAACGGCUCACCUAGGCUACGAUCGUUAGGGGGCCUGAGAGGGUUAUCCCCCACACUGGUACUGAGACACGGACCAGACUCCUACGGGAGGCAGCAGUGAGGAAUAUUGCGCAAUGGAGGCAACUCUGACGCAGCCAUGCCGCGUGCAGGAAGAAGGCGCUACGCGUUGUAAACUGCUUUUAACCGGGAAGAAACCCUCCGACGUGUCGGAGGUUGACGGUACCGGAGGAAUAAGCACCGGCUAACUUCGUG